GACGGAGGGCGCUAGCGUUGUUCGGAAUUACUGGGCGUAAAGGGCGCGUAGGCGGCUCUGUAAGUCGGGUGUGAAAGCCCGGGGCUCAACCCCGGAACGGCACCCGAGACUGCAGAGCUGGAGAACGGAAGAGGUGAGUGGAAUACCCGGUGUAGAGGUGAAAUUCGUAGAUAUUGGGUGGAACACCGGUGGCGAAAGCGGCCCACUGGUCCGGUUCUGACGCUGAGGUGCGAAAGCGUGGGGAGCAAACAGG
Molecule: ribosomal RNA, 253 nt
Filed under: uncultured bacterium
Lineage: Bacteria
Description: partial 16S ribosomal RNA
Rfam family: Bacterial small subunit ribosomal RNA
Source: RNAcentral